This 2929-nucleotide ribosomal RNA is filed under the name Escherichia coli. RNAcentral's name for it is "23S ribosomal RNA". It matches the Rfam family "Bacterial large subunit ribosomal RNA". Lineage: Bacteria; Pseudomonadati; Pseudomonadota; Gammaproteobacteria; Enterobacterales; Enterobacteriaceae. The record is from RNAcentral.
GGGUUGUGAGGUUAAGCGACUAAGCGUACACGGUGGAUGCCCUGGCAGUCAGAGGCGAUGAAGGACGUGCUAAUCUGCGAUAAGCGUCGGUAAGGUGAUAUGAACCGUUAUAACCGGCGAUUUCCGAAUGGGGAAACCCAGUGUGUUUCGACACACUAUCAUUAACUGAAUCCAUAGGUUAAUGAGGCGAACCGGGGGAACUGAAACAUCUAAGUACCCCGAGGAAAAGAAAUCAACCGAGAUUCCCCCAGUAGCGGCGAGCGAACGGGGAGCAGCCCAGAGCCUGAAUCAGUGUGUGUGUUAGUGGAAGCGUCUGGAAAGGCGUGCGAUACAGGGUGACAGCCCCGUACACAAAAAUGCACAUGCUGUGAGCUCGAUGAGUAGGGCGGGACACGUGGUAUCCUGUCUGAAUAUGGGGGGACCAUCCUCCAAGGCUAAAUACUCCUGACUGACCGAUAGUGAACCAGUACCGUGAGGGAAAGGCGAAAAGAACCCCGGCGAGGGGAGUGAAAAAGAACCUGAAACCGUGUACGUACAAGCAGUGGGAGCACGCUUAGGCGUGUGACUGCGUACCUUUUGUAUAAUGGGUCAGCGACUUAUAUUCUGUAGCAAGGUUAACCGAAUAGGGGAGCCGAAGGGAAACCGAGUCUUAACUGGGCGUUAAGUUGCAGGGUAUAGACCCGAAACCCGGUGAUCUAGCCAUGGGCAGGUUGAAGGUUGGGUAACACUAACUGGAGGACCGAACCGACUAAUGUUGAAAAAUUAGCGGAUGACUUGUGGCUGGGGGUGAAAGGCCAAUCAAACCGGGAGAUAGCUGGUUCUCCCCGAAAGCUAUUUAGGUAGCGCCUCGUGAAUUCAUCUCCGGGGGUAGAGCACUGUUUCGGCAAGGGGGUCAUCCCGACUUACCAACCCGAUGCAAACUGCGAAUACCGGAGAAUGUUAUCACGGGAGACACACGGCGGGUGCUAACGUCCGUCGUGAAGAGGGAAACAACCCAGACCGCCAGCUAAGGUCCCAAAGUCAUGGUUAAGUGGGAAACGAUGUGGGAAGGCCCAGACAGCCAGGAUGUUGGCUUAGAAGCAGCCAUCAUUUAAAGAAAGCGUAAUAGCUCACUGGUCGAGUCGGCCUGCGCGGAAGAUGUAACGGGGCUAAACCAUGCACCGAAGCUGCGGCAGCGACACUAUGUGUUGUUGGGUAGGGGAGCGUUCUGUAAGCCUGUGAAGGUGUACUGUGAGGUAUGCUGGAGGUAUCAGAAGUGCGAAUGCUGACAUAAGUAACGAUAAAGCGGGUGAAAAGCCCGCUCGCCGGAAGACCAAGGGUUCCUGUCCAACGUUAAUCGGGGCAGGGUGAGUCGACCCCUAAGGCGAGGCCGAAAGGCGUAGUCGAUGGGAAACAGGUUAAUAUUCCUGUACUUGGUGUUACUGCGAAGGGGGGACGGAGAAGGCUAUGUUGGCCGGGCGACGGUUGUCCCGGUUUAAGCGUGUAGGCUGGUUUUCCAGGCAAAUCCGGAAAAUCAAGGCUGAGGCGUGAUGACGAGGCACUACGGUGCUGAAGCAACAAAUGCCCUGCUUCCAGGAAAAGCCUCUAAGCAUCAGGUAACAUCAAAUCGUACCCCAAACCGACACAGGUGGUCAGGUAGAGAAUACCAAGGCGCUUGAGAGAACUCGGGUGAAGGAACUAGGCAAAAUGGUGCCGUAACUUCGGGAGAAGGCACGCUGAUAUGUAGGUGAAGCGACUUGCUCGUGGAGCUGAAAUCAGUCGAAGAUACCAGCUGGCUGCAACUGUUUAUUAAAAACACAGCACUGUGCAAACACGAAAGUGGACGUAUACGGUGUGACGCCUGCCCGGUGCCGGAAGGUUAAUUGAUGGGGUCAGCGCAAGCGAAGCUCUUGAUCGAAGCCCCGGUAAACGGCGGCCGUAACUAUAACGGUCCUAAGGUAGCGAAAUUCCUUGUCGGGUAAGUUCCGACCUGCACGAAUGGCGUAAUGAUGGCCAGGCUGUCUCCACCCGAGACUCAGUGAAAUUGAACUCGCUGUGAAGAUGCAGUGUACCCGCGGCAAGACGGAAAGACCCCGUGAACCUUUACUAUAGCUUGACACUGAACAUUGAGCCUUGAUGUGUAGGAUAGGUGGGAGGCUUUGAAGUGUGGACGCCAGUCUGCAUGGAGCCGACCUUGAAAUACCACCCUUUAAUGUUUGAUGUUCUAACGUUGACCCGUAAUCCGGGUUGCGGACAGUGUCUGGUGGGUAGUUUGACUGGGGCGGUCUCCUCCUAAAGAGUAACGGAGGAGCACGAAGGUUGGCUAAUCCUGGUCGGACAUCAGGAGGUUAGUGCAAUGGCAUAAGCCAGCUUGACUGCGAGCGUGACGGCGCGAGCAGGUGCGAAAGCAGGUCAUAGUGAUCCGGUGGUUCUGAAUGGAAGGGCCAUCGCUCAACGGAUAAAAGGUACUCCGGGGAUAACAGGCUGAUACCGCCCAAGAGUUCAUAUCGACGGCGGUGUUUGGCACCUCGAUGUCGGCUCAUCACAUCCUGGGGCUGAAGUAGGUCCCAAGGGUAUGGCUGUUCGCCAUUUAAAGUGGUACGCGAGCUGGGUUUAGAACGUCGUGAGACAGUUCGGUCCCUAUCUGCCGUGGGCGCUGGAGAACUGAGGGGGGCUGCUCCUAGUACGAGAGGACCGGAGUGGACGCAUCACUGGUGUUCGGGUUGUCAUGCCAAUGGCACUGCCCGGUAGCUAAAUGCGGAAGAGAUAAGUGCUGAAAGCAUCUAAGCACGAAACUUGCCCCGAGAUGAGUUCUCCCUGACCCUUUAAGGGUCCUGAAGGAACGUUGAAGACGACGACGUUGAUAGGCCGGGUGUGUAAGCGCAGCGAUGCGUUGAGCUAACCGGUACUAAUGAACCGUGAGGCUUAACCUUACAACGCCGAAGCUGUU